AGUCAGGAACUGUACAAACUCAAUUAUCUCCAGGCACAGAAAACACACAAUUUAUAAAACACCACAAAAUACACAUAAAAUACACAAAACCCCUACAAAAUUUACAUCCCUUCAUAGCCCGAUCUGGGUGACCAACAUAUCCAAAAAUCACUAGACAUGUGUGUAGCGGCACCCCGAAGAGUGAGGGGUUUUCCCCGCCAAGAGAUGUCCUUUCUCACCUGUUGUGAGAGGGAGGCUGUAGAGUAGAGCAGGAACAGCUCUUUAAAGAGCUAGUGAUUAUAAUACUCCAAAGAGCAAUCCCAAGAGCAUGGAUU
Pelobates cultripes (western spadefoot toad) is the source of this 314-nucleotide non-coding RNA. NCBI's taxonomy places the organism in Eukaryota, Metazoa, Chordata, Amphibia, Anura, Pelobatidae. The record is from the annotation of a GenBank genome assembly.